CGCCGCCCGGAGCGCGCCCCCCGCCCUGCCGCCGAGUUGCAAGCUAGCGAGCGCAGUGCAAACUUGCAAGUUUCCCUCCGCCAGGGGUUCCCGGGAGCCGCGCGGGGGCGGCGGGGGAGGGGGCGGGGGGGCGCGGGCGGGCGAGGCCGGGGCCGAAUUCCUUCCCCCCCCGCCCCCAAAAAACUACCCGGCGAAGCAGGCGGAGAGGAGGGCUGCCGCACCGGCACGGCCGGGCCAUUGUCUGGGCGGCCACACAAAGCGGCCAGCGGCGCUGCGCGCCGACCCUGGGUGACACGUGGGGAAACUGAGGCCCAGAGUGGCCACGAGCCCUGUCGCGGCAGCAUCGGCUCAGCUCCGUGGUCUGGGGAGUGUCUUACUUUCUGGAGCCCCCCAGUCCGCCCCCACUUUCCCGCUUGGGACUAGCAGAGACCGAAGGGCACCCCCAGCCCCGCCCCCAGCCGCCGCCGCCGGGCAGGGGGGUAGGGGCUCACGCUGUGCUGAGCGGUGGCCCGGGCUUCAGGGAGCCCUGUCGAAAGGCACCGGGCCGGGGACGAGCUGCCACCACCAGAUGGGUGCUGACUCUGUGGCCGGUGGCUAUUUUUACGCCUCGGAUAGUCCUCUGCCCUGACUUUUAAAUUCAUGACUCGUUUGUUUAAAAGCGAAAGGAAGGACGCCUGACCCUGCCGCUGGAGUUGGGGUUCGGGUGUGAGUUACCUGCGCGGAGCAGAGCCUCCUGAGCAGGCGCAGCCCAGGCGCCAGGCUGUGCUUCCCUCCUCACCCCACCCCUGCCCCGCCCCACCGCUUGCUGCCAUGGGACACCUAUAUUCCCAAAGGGAUCACCACGGCCCUUGACAAGAGAGGAAGUCCUACCUGCCACCUGUGAGACCUGGAGAAGCCUCAUCACCCCUCUGGGCUCUACCUGCCCUCUGUGGAAUGGAGGAGCAACAGGACCACCUCCCACUGGGCAGCCAGGAGUCAGAUGCCACCGGGGCCAUUGAGAUCCCUCCAGGAGGAAGACCCCAGAGCCACCUGGGGCAGGAGCAGGGGGGAAAGCGCUGGUUGGGGAGCCCUCCCUCCCCCAGCGCAACCACAGGUCAUGGCCCAGGCUUGUCCUGUCCUCCUGGCUUCUGCUUGACCUGUGCUCCCCUCCCCCACUCUAGAAAGUCUCCUGGUUGCUGGAUCCUGGGCCACCUGCCCACUGCGCCCGGUCCACCACCAUCCCCUGCCCCAAGCAGCAGCCUAUUUAAUUGUGGUUCUCAUCCACUGUCAUCACAGCAAACCCACCCCCCCCCUUCCCAAACCACGGCCACCCGAUUCUAAACCUGGUUUCCUCCUGCCAGGGCUGGGGGCUGGCAAGCAUGCAGGAAGGAGCAGCCAUGGUGCUGCCGUGUCUGGGGAGAAAGCCCCACUUCGAAGGCCUGUCUCCAGCUCCUCUGGCACAGCCCUACGCGUGUGCACCCAUCGUCCUGUCCUGUCCUCCUGACCUGUAGCGGACCUCGCCUCUCCUGGCAAGGAGGAGGCCAGAUGCCCUGGUCAUAGGUGACCCGGAGCCAUGGCACCCACUUCCUUGCUGAUCAUCCCAACAACCUGUGGGCAGCGGGCGCUGCCAUUCCACCUGGCUGGUAAGGACAGCAAGGCUAGGAGAGGGGACACCGUGGGACACGUCACUCUGUGGCAAGGGGGGAAGCUAACCUUUGAGCCCAAGGCCUGUCCUUGGAACCUCUGGGCCACCGAGGGGGUAAGUUUGCCCAGGCCUCAGGGGUCCCCAGUGACCUUCGAUGCAGCACUGCCUUCCUGCCCCACCCCGUGGGGACAGGCCACCCAUGCUGUGUCGCCCCAGGUCAUGAGAUGGAGAAGGCGAGGCUGCGUGGGUGGGGGUGAGGGGGUGAGUGGUCCCCAUGUCCAAUGCCGGAGGUCAGUCAUUCAUUCGACAAACAUCUGCUGAGCGCUCACCACGAGGCCAGACCCUGUGCUCGGGCUGGGUCCUCGGGUGGAGGUGUGGUCCCAGCUGGACGGGCGUGGGUGGGAUCCCAGCUCUGCCUCUCACCAGCUGUGUGGCCCGGUCCGUCACUCCCUUCUCUGUGCCUCAGUCUUCUCAUCUGUGAAGUGGGCAUGGCCACCCCCUCCCGCUGAGUCACAGAGGUGGCUCAGUGAGGUCAUACAGGCAGGGUCUGGCCUCAAGGAAGAGGAGCUCUGUAAGUGAUGCUGCGACCACUGCUGUCAUCGCUGGCUUAGGCCCCUGGGAGCCCCAGCGCAGAGGGCAGGUAAGACACGCCCACAGGAGCUGCUGUUUGAGACGGAGAGUCACGGGCAGUCCGGGAGUGGGAGAACAGUGACCGGAGGGUGAAGACGUGUCCAGCCAGGGGGCCUGGACAGCUUCUGGGCAUGGCUGGUUCCUGAGCUGAGUUUCGAAGGAGGGAGGUUUUCAUCAGAUAGAAGCAGGGCUGAGAGCACUGCAGGCAGAAGGACCAGUAUGAGCAGGGCCCGGAGGUGGGAGGUAGUCGGCACGUCGCAGGAACAGCCCGUUCAGCGGGCAGGUCGGAACACGCCGGGCAAUUGUGGGAAAGCUGGUCCUGGAGGCCUCGAAGGCUGAGCUCAAGCAUCCGAAGUCACCUGCUUGAGACAGUGGGUAGCCUGGGACCUGGGCGCCCAGCCCCACUCCUCCCACCCCCUGGCCACGGAAAACUUGAGACUCCAUUCGGAACUGUUGGCGCCUGGAGCCAGGGAGCCACACGCAGGGGGAUCCGCUGAGGAUGCGAGAGGGGGCCUCUAUUCCUCAGAGACCCGCGAAGGCGUCCCCCAGCCCCAGCCUCUCCCAGGGCUCCAGGCCGCGGGCACAGUGGGGCGAGCCCGGAGUCCAGAGCCCUGCCGACCUGGCUCCAGUCCAGCCUCAGGGCCUACAGAGGCUCAGCCUCACCUCCCCAUCUGCGGAGGGGCGGGGGGCAAGGGUGCUCCGGGAGCCGGCCGGCUGGGACCGGGAAAGGGAGCCAGCUGCAGGGGAGGCGAAGGCCCCGCUCCCUGCUGGCGAGUGUGCACGCUGUGUGGUAUGCCUAGUCCUCGCUGUCCCUCCAGCUGGGGCUUUUUGGUGCGAAUGAUCCCACAGGACACCGCCCUGGACGGUGGCUGCCCCAUUUGGAGACGCCAGGCCCAAGCUAACCAUGGAAAAAACCGCCCCCAGCCUUCCUGCCAUGUGCUUCUGCAGCCAAAAAUAUUUUUAUAGUAAUAUCCAUCUAUUUACAACCUGGGAUCUGAGAGGGUUUUGUUUUUUGUUUGGCUUUUUUUUCCCCCUGAAGGAUGCUUUUUAAGGUACUUUGGCCUCUUCCACGCGCCUGUCUCAGCUCAGUCUUGUAAACAGUCUCCGGAAUCGCUUGGACCUUGACCGCAGCUCCCGGACCUGAAGGACAGCCGGCCCUGCACCCCCAGCCCAGUGCACAGGCCAGAGAAAGGUUGGGUUCCGUGUGAAUCGGGUGACCUCAAGGCAAGCAGCUUUGCUCCAUCACGAGGGAGCCUCGUUCCAAACCUCUGGGAGCUGAGGGCGGUUUGGCGCCCCGGCUCCUGUGGGACAGGCCCAAGGGCAUAGGGGCUGCUUUGUGGACAAAGCCCAGGAUUUCAGGGCGGCUCCAGGCAGGAGCUGGUGGGUUCCCUCCAGAGGCCUCCAAACAGAUGGUCCUGCCAAAACCCCAAGGCCACCUAGAAGGGGUCAUGGAUGCAGGGGGCGGCUCGGGGUUUAGAGGAUGCCAGGGGGCGUCCAGCGAGUCCCGGGUAGCAGAGAAGGGACCUGCCACACACUGCCAGCUCCACCCCCAGCUCUGCCGACAGAUUCCUGCCUUCCCGUCUCACAGAAGGCGAUGCUGAGGCUGAGGGGAGCCGGGACAAGCUCCAGGUCAUGCAGCAGCUCCAGCGCCGAGGUCAACAGAGUCACAAUCGAGGUGAACGGUCCGACCCUGUAGGGACGAGCACCCACCUCGGCCUCCUGCCUUCAGAGAGGCUCCACCUUCAGGCUCCCCACCAGUGUGCAGGUGUUCAGACCAGAGUCCAGAGCGAGGGCCAGGCUGCAGACUGGGGAAACGGGGUGCUGGGGCAGGAGCCGGGACCGGGAGGCCAAGCCCGGCUCCGCCACCGACUCUCACAUGGUUCUUUCUGAACCUCAGUCUCUCCGUCCAUAAAAUGGGAGGGAAGAGCCAGCUAAUCACAGAGGGGUUUUGUUUUUUGUUUUGGUUUUGGUUUGUUUUACAUGAAGUAAGAACCUAUCAACAGGGACCUCAGUGUUAACACAUCCCGGGCGCUGAGGAGAAAGGCCGAAGCCAAGAAUCCCAGCCUGGGGCACCGAUCCCAUCCCCAGCCUGGCUCUGACGACGGCGCUCCUAUCCAGACGCUGCCCACCAACCCAGAAGAGAAUGUGUUUUAUCGGGGCCAUUUAUUAUCGACAAUUGCUGCAUAAAUCUCCCCGAAUCCACAUACAUAUACAGAAGAGAUGGAUAAAUAAGACGGGCCGAGCCGCCGUGCUCCGUCUCACUGAUGUAGUCUUCCUGCCCCCAUAAAGAUAACGGGAGAUGAUUCAUAAUAUUUAUUUGACAGACAUGAUAUGAACCGUAAUAGCCUGUUGGGAUUAAAAAUAUCCGUACGUCUCUGUCAUCCAC
This is a long non-coding RNA of Phacochoerus africanus (Common warthog), 4640 nucleotides long. RefSeq lists it as uncharacterized. The transcript has 3 exons. The record is from RefSeq and is a predicted model, not a curated record. Lineage: Eukaryota; Metazoa; Chordata; Mammalia; Artiodactyla; Suidae.